RNAcentral lists this ribosomal RNA (386 nucleotides) under uncultured bacterium. Its description in RNAcentral is "bacterial SSU rRNA". It matches the Rfam family "Bacterial small subunit ribosomal RNA", at positions 29 to 416 of the family's 1533-position model. The record is from RNAcentral.
AUUAAACGCUGGCGGCAUGCCUUACACAUGCAAGUCGAACGGCAGCACGGGGGCAACCCUGGUGGCGAGUGGCGAACGGGUGAGUAACGCAUCGGAACGUGCCCUGGAGUGGGGGAUAACGUAGCGAAAGUUACGCUAAUACCGCAUAUUCUGUGAGCAGGAAAGCAGGGGAUCGCAAGACCUUGCGCUCUGGGAGCGGCCGAUGUCGGAUUAGCUAGUUGGUGGGGUAAAGGCCUACCAAGGCGACGAUCCGUAGCGGGUCUGAGAGGAUGAUCCGCACACUGGGACUGAGACACGGCCCACGAUCCUACGGGAGGCAGCAGUGGGGAAGUUUUGGACAAUGGGCGCAAGCCUGAUCCAGCCAUGCCGCGUGAGUGAAGAAGGCC